RNAcentral lists this ribosomal RNA (492 nucleotides) under uncultured bacterium. RNAcentral's name for it is "partial 16S ribosomal RNA". It matches the Rfam family "Bacterial small subunit ribosomal RNA", at positions 29 to 507 of the family's 1533-position model. The record is from RNAcentral.
AGUGAACGCUGGCGGUAGGCCUAACACAUGCAAGUCGAACGGCAGCACAGUAAGAGCUUGCUCUUACGGGUGGCGAGUGGCGGACGGGUGAGGAAUACAUCGGAAUCUACUUUUUCGUGGGGGAUAACGUAGGGAAACUUACGCUAAUACCGCAUACGACCUACGGGUGAAAGCAGGGGAUCUUCGGACCUUGCGCGAUUGAAUGAGCCGAUGUCGGCUUAGCUAGUUGGCGGGGUAAAGGCCCACCAAGGCGACGAUCCGUAGCUGGUCUGAGAGGAUGAUCAGCCACACUGGAACUGAGACACGGUGCAGACUCCUACGGGAGGCAGCAGUGGGGAAUAUUGGACAAUGGGCGCAAGCCUGAUCCAGCCAUACCGCGUGAGUGAAGAAGGCCUUCGGGUUGUAAAGCCCUUUUGUUGGGAAAGAAAAGCAGCAGGUUAAUACCCCGCUGUUCUGACGGUACCCAAAGAAUAAGCACCGGCUAACUUCGUG